UUUGUUACAUUGUUAUAUUCAUAAUGAUACGUUACAACAAGUCUCACGCGGUCAAAACAAUUGAAAUGUUACAUUAAAAUGACUACUUAAUUACACGUUUGGUUCAGGAUUGUGCUCUCGUCAUCUUUAUUAAUGACCAAAUUAUUUUUACUAUCAACGGCAGUAUUCAAACUAACACAGACUCACAGACUCAAUAUAUCAACUUCUGUGGGAGGACAUGCUCCAAAGAAUAACGUAGAUAAAUCUUCUGGAAGGUCGUAAAAAGUGUCGUAAGGAUCGUCACAAAAUUCCUUUAAAGGUUGCUGUCCACCAGCUCCAAAGAAUGAAGUAGAUAAAUCGUCUGGAAGGUCGUAAAAAAUGUCGUAAGGAUCAUCGCAGAAUUCCUCUGAACGUUGCUGUCCACCAGAAAUUUGGUCAGACUCUAAACGUUCAUGUUCGUGAAGUGUGUGAAUAGGUUCAAGGAUUGAGUGUGUUUCAAUUGAGGAAGACAAAACUGAUGAAUUUGAUUUUUGUUUUCUACCACGUUUUUUCAUUCCAUUCUCUAAUUUAUAUUUCAA
RNAcentral lists this long non-coding RNA (557 nucleotides) under Cicer arietinum (chickpea). Its description in RNAcentral is "long non-coding RNA (CARI_LNC003532)". Lineage: Eukaryota; Viridiplantae; Streptophyta; Magnoliopsida; Fabales; Fabaceae. The record is from RNAcentral.